AUACGGAGGGUGCAAGCGUUAUCCGGAAUCAUUGGGUUUAAAGGGUCCGUAGGCGGGCAAAUAAGUCAGAGGUGAAAUCCCACAGCUCAACUGUGGAACUGCCUUUGAUACUGUUUGUCUUGAGUUAUCGUGAAGUAGAUAGAAUAUGUAGUGUAGCGGUGAAAUGCAUAGAUAUUACAUAGAAUACCGAUUGCGAAGGCAGUCUACUAACUAUUGACUGACGCUAAUGGACGAAAGCGUGGGGAGCGAACAGUAUUAGAAACCCUAGUAGUCC
This 274-nucleotide ribosomal RNA is filed under the name uncultured bacterium. Its description in RNAcentral is "partial 16S ribosomal RNA". It matches the Rfam family "Bacterial small subunit ribosomal RNA", at positions 523 to 796 of the family's 1533-position model. The record is from RNAcentral.